GCACAAGCGGUGGAUGAUGUGGAUUAAUUCGAUGCAACGCGAAAACCUUACCACCUUUGACAUGUACGGAAGUUGCCAGAGAUGGCUUCGUGCUCGAAAGAGAGCCGUAACACAGGUGCUGCAUGGCUGUCGUCAGCUCGUGUCGUGAGAUGUUGGGUUAAGUCCCGCAACGAGCGCAACCCUUGUCAUUAGUUGCUACGAAAGGGCACUCUAAUGAGACUGCCGGUGACAAACCGGAGGAAAGGUGGGGAUGACGUCAAGUCCUCAUGGCCCUUAUAGGUGGGGCUACACACGUCAUACAAUGGCUGGUACAAAGGGUUGCCAACCCGCGAGGGGGAGCCAAUCCCAUAAAGCCAGUCGCAGUCCGGAUCGCAGUCUGCAACUCGACUGCGUGAAGUCGGAAUCGCUAGUAAUCGUGGAUCAGCAUGUCACGGUGAAUACGUUCCCGGGUCUU
RNAcentral lists this ribosomal RNA (454 nucleotides) under uncultured Comamonadaceae bacterium. RNAcentral's name for it is "bacterial SSU rRNA". It matches the Rfam family "Bacterial small subunit ribosomal RNA", at positions 923 to 1382 of the family's 1533-position model. The record is from RNAcentral. Lineage: Bacteria; Pseudomonadati; Pseudomonadota; Betaproteobacteria; Burkholderiales; Comamonadaceae.